Molecule: ribosomal RNA, 253 nt
Filed under: uncultured bacterium
Lineage: Bacteria
Description: partial 16S ribosomal RNA
Rfam family: Bacterial small subunit ribosomal RNA
Source: RNAcentral
CACGUAGGGGGCAAGCGUUGUCCGGAUUUAUUGGGCGUAAAGAGCUCGUAGGCGGUUUCGUAAGUCGGAUGUGAAAACUCACAGCUCAACUGUGGGCGUGCGGGCGAUACGGGCAGACUUGAGUACUGCAGGGGAGACUGGAAUUCCUGGUGUAGCGGUGGAAUGCGCAGAUAUCAGGAGGAACACCGGUGGCGAAGGCGGGUCUCUGGGCAGUAACUGACGCUGAGGCUCGAAAGCAUGGGGAGCAAACAGG